GAGAGUUCAUAACAGAAACAGUAAACGAAGGAAAAGUGGGCAAAAUACAUGAUCAACAAUGAAAUAUACUGACACAUCCUUCACUUGGUGUUAAAAUUUAGUUCAUGGCGAACAAUUCAUGUUGUCAUGCCCUGAAUCCCCAUUCAUAAACACAUAGGGGAUAAGGGAGUAGGGAUCAAACAUUUACAGGAAAAUGAAGCAAACAGUAACAUGUGAACAUGUCAAACUCUGCAGGAAGUAGGCAUACAUAUAAAGACUAUAAGUAAACACAUUGGGGUGAUUGCUGGGAACUAAGUCAAGACAUACCAGUAAAGAGCAAGUGCUGGAUGCAAAGACAGAGCAAUAGCAGUAUAUUAGCCUUGGCUUUCAGGCGGCUAAUAGUAAACAUGAGCAGAGAACAGCAACAAAGAGGAGCAAGAGGGAAUGCAGACUUUGAAAGUAUUCAGUAGUGUAUAAGUCAGAAAACUACUGUGUUUUCAAUUGUUGAAUUGAAAGUGUCUUUUGUGAAAGAGAGGGUCAGGUAUUUAUAGUUAAAAAUAAGUAGAGAGUAAGGGUGGAAUCAUAGUAAUUAUAGAACUAUGUAUCAAUUACAAUCAACAUAAGCAAUCCCUUUAAUUGAGGGAUUCAAAAUCAAACGGGUAAAGCAAUAAAGGAAAAGGGGUUUGAGCAAAAUAUCAUAAUAAAGGGUAAGUGCAUAAAAAUUAUUUAAGGUAACAGAAUAGUGGCACACACUUUGUAUGAAAAAAAGGAAAGGGAAUCAAUUAGUAGAACCAAAAUCACAUGCUUACUUGAAAGAAUCAGGUCGAAAAAAGGGUAAGGAAAAAUUCACUUAAGGAAAAUCUGGAACAAUCAAGUAAACACCAUCAAAGGGAUUCAGAAUCAAUCAGUAGUUGGAAAAACAUCUUGAGAGAAGAGUUCUCAUAAAUAAAGUACAAAAACAUGUGAAUCGAGAAGAGACUGUCGAGUUAUGUAAAAGAGAGAAGUUAAGAAUCAUAAAAGAUAUACAAGUUCAGUUUGCAGAGUCAUAGUUGGUGUGAGAGUUCAGGGUUCCAAAGUGGAACCCUAACUCGAACAUCAAAUCAAAAUUCUCAAAGAAAAUCCCCAAAUCCUAGGGUUAUGAAUUGAAUCGGGCAUAGAGACGAGAAGGCAGGUCAUUGAAACCGACUCAAAUGUCUGCUUCAAAGCCUUAUGAGAAGUAAAACAAAUGUGAUAGUAAUUUUGAAACAAUAAGAAAAGAAAACUGAUUUAAAGCAUGAAGAACAUGUUUUAAGAACGGCUCGGAACUUAAACAAACUCAGAAGAAAGAAGUGAUACAAACUUAGGCAGAAGCAGAUGAAACAUGUUUGGAAAAACACGAACAGAGUCCAGUAAAGCAAACAAAAUCAAAGAACUCAAUGAUAAAACAGACACAGUAGAAAAGUAAGGAAAAUAUGCUAGGAUUAACAUGUCAGCACACAUAUAGUAGAAAAGAAAAGUAGCUGAAUAGUAGAUGCAUAGUAAAAAGAGUCACACAAGAAUGAUACAAACAAAUACAUAUAAAGAAAAGAAGAAGAGUCAAUUUUACCUUUUAUUUCGAUCUCUAGAGUAAGAUUCGUAUCAUGGAAAUCAUGAGAGGAAUGAGUUUCAUGGCAUGCGCUUAGGGCGAAGACAUCAAGGUCUCUUUUAAUUUCCCCAUACUUUUUCCCAUGAGCAUGGUAUUGGGCUAGGCUACCAACCUCAAGAGGAGGAUUCCUUUUUUAUUUUGAGAAAUGGUUUCAUUCGCACUAAAGUAGCAGCAUACUUUCAAGGCUGAAGGAAGAUCUUUCGACCCCAGGAAGCCAUACAGACCCAAUCUUCCAUGGCUACUUCCUCAAAUAAGGUGAUGAUUUAGCCUUCUCAUUCAAAAAUGGACUUGGUUGCGCUAUGAUGUUUCGAAAACUUUCCAGAAACCCUAAUUUGAAGACAAAUGAUGUUAAAAGAAAAAAAUUGGAGGAAGCACUUUAGAAGCUCAGUAGAACACAAAUAUACCACAGAUCUAAGAAAAUAAACAGAGAAAAAACCUCGAACAGCUUAGGGUUUAGAAGAAACCCUAGAAGCGAGAAAGGCUUUGGAAGAAAGUCUGAUCCUGAGUUGAAGAGGUCAGAAAAGGUUGCUAAUGCCUUGGGUAUGUCGGAACAGGCCGGAGUAGCCAUAGAAUUGAAGAUCUGAGAAGGUUUGAAAGAAAGUCGUCGAGGUCAUGCUUCAAAACCUUGAACACCCAUGGUCUAAUGGUGGAAGGGGGUGAGGAAUCCAUGGUCUCCGAUAGAGAAGGCCGUCGGAGAAGAUGAAGGGACUGAUCAGAGAAGGGGAUAAGACAGAAGUCUCUAGAAGAGACUAGAGAUAAAGAGAGAGUGUGGAGAGAUGAGAG
RNAcentral lists this long non-coding RNA (2386 nucleotides) under Nicotiana benthamiana. RNAcentral's name for it is "long non-coding RNA (NBEN_LNC039823)". The record is from RNAcentral. Lineage: Eukaryota; Viridiplantae; Streptophyta; Magnoliopsida; Solanales; Solanaceae.